This is a long non-coding RNA of Felis catus (domestic cat), 440 nucleotides long. RefSeq lists it as uncharacterized. The transcript is spliced from 4 exons. The record is from RefSeq and is a predicted model, not a curated record. NCBI's taxonomy places the organism in Eukaryota, Metazoa, Chordata, Mammalia, Carnivora, Felidae.
CUGGUGAUUCUGUGACCAGUCAUUAAUACAGAUUACUACAAAAAGGUUUACUCUAUAUGUGUUGGUUUCUAUAGGCCUCUCUUUCUGUUUACACAAGAUACAAGAUUCUGACUCAACUUCAGUACCUGACCACCAUGUAUUCAUGUGACUUAAGCCUGGGGAUAACCGGAGUAAGCAGACCUGACUAUAAAUAGGCUGCCGGAGCAGACUGUGAGAGAUUGGAUCUACUCCAUUUUAUAUAUGUCACAUUAAAAUAUCUACAAUAUUUUGUGUUUGUUUUCACAAAGAAUCAGACAAUUAGAUCCUGGGAGUCUGUGGGCAAUUGCAUCCAUUUGCCUUUCCAGGAGGACAGCCCUGCAUACAAUUAAAGUCGCAAGUAAUCAAGAAAAUGAACAGUUUCUACCAGAAAAUGGAUAUGUAUCCUAUGUAAAAUCUAUAAA